Long non-coding RNA from Octopus sinensis (East Asian common octopus), 147 nucleotides. RefSeq lists it as uncharacterized. NCBI's taxonomy places the organism in Eukaryota, Metazoa, Mollusca, Cephalopoda, Octopoda, Octopodidae. The record is from RefSeq and is a predicted model, not a curated record. The transcript is spliced from 4 exons.
UGGUGUGUGUAUGUCCUGGUACCAAUAGAAUAACUUAGAUUGAAAUUGAAAAGCAGGGGUAAAUGAUGCCUACCUAACCUACAAAAAAGAAAAUGAAACAUUUUGCAUUUUAUGCAUAGUAAUCAGACUAACCUACACAAUUUUAUU